RNAcentral lists this long non-coding RNA (1850 nucleotides) under Rosa chinensis. RNAcentral describes it as "sRNA RchiOBHm_Chr6g0270201". The record is from RNAcentral. Lineage: Eukaryota; Viridiplantae; Streptophyta; Magnoliopsida; Rosales; Rosaceae.
UAACACUCGUUCACUAUUUUCCAUCUUUGCUCACUCGCUCUCCCUCUCUUUUUCUCCUUCGGCGACAUAAUCCUCCUUAUGAUCAAUUUCUCUCAGUCCUUGUUCAAAUCCAAUCACAGUUAGUGGAGCCAACGCCGCCCUCCUCCUUGCUUUCCAUCUUCGAGAAGAAGACCACCCAAAUCGAUCUCUACUGCCAUCUCUCUCUCUCUCUCUCUCUCUCUCUCAAACCCAGUUCCUAUCUUAACCUAAAGUUCCCGAUUCUCUCUCUAGGCCUUAGCCGUGCCUCAAACCCAUAUCUCAUGUCUCAAAUGAUUAAUUUUAAUUGGAAGGACCAAAGGAUGUAGAAAGGGGAUCUUGGUAGCAAAGGGGAUCUCGCUCUGUCCCUAGCAUCUGCCAAUCCCGACGGUCAGUUCGCUCUCUCCAGCUCGAAGGACGGUGAGCUUCGUCUCUAGAAGAUGGAAGCCAUCACCGAAUCUUAGGUUUCUUCUUCAAUAGAAGAAAACCCAAAGUUCCGCGGCUAUUCUGGUUUUGCCAAACCCAAAGACGAUGAGGCUGCUUGGGAUGGCGACGAGCCUGGUUGCUGGAAGCAUGUGGAUGAGGCCAAGGUUUGGUGUCUGAUGCAUUUCAUUUAACUUUUGGGUGUGGCUUGUUGACGUUUUUGAUGUUCGCAUUGGCGGCUUCUCAAAAGAAGCCUGAUGGAAUCUACACUUAGGGGUAAGAUUGUGGAGCAAAGAGGAGAGGAGCACUUGCUUGCUUGAAAGAAAAGAAGUGGAGAAUUGAUCAAUUGUGUUUGCUUGAUGUGUCUGCGGUUCAAUCAAUUGUGGUUGUGAUUCCUGUAGUUAGUGCUUCUAAGUGAAAUGGGAGGAGAAUUUGCAGCGAAGGAGAGUGGUAAAAUUUCCUAGAGACUGAGGGGCGGGUGCGAAAAUUUCUGAUUGUGAAGAUUAGGUGGCAUUGGAGGUAUUGUCAAUUGUGAAGCUGCUUCUACUAACAUUCCGAUCAUCUUUCUCAGGUUGGUUGCCUAUAAUUGACAUUCCAAAAGCAGGUGAAGCUGUGAAUAGAAGUGGAUAAUGUGAGAGCCGAUGAUCUUCAUUUAAAAAAGACUUCAAUCAUAUUUGCCGGAUUUUACACAUAAUUAGAAUUCUCAUACAAAGAAAGUGUUAGUGGUUAAGUGGUUUUCUUUUGUUUUGUAGAUAUUGGGAAUAGUGAACUAUCAAUGUUUGCAAGUAUUUUGAAUUCAGGUUUCGGCUGCUACUGUUACUUUUAAUGCAGCUCCUGCUGUUGGUGCAACUGAUUUAGUAGUUGUGAGAUUAGUCUGUAGACCUGCAGAUUCUAUUCCAAAACCCGCAGCAACCCGCGGGCACACAUGCUAUUGUAUCCUAUAUUGCUCUUUGACUUUGUACAUUGAACGGGAUGCGGACAAUAUUGAGCCCUAAAUCAAGUCAAAUCAUACAAUUGAAUGCCCAGCACUUGGAGUCCAGCUUUGUGUAAAGCUUGUACCAAUGAUGCAACCUUUAUUGUGAGGUAGAAACAAUGUAAGCAGGCUUUUGGAGAACAAUGCGAGCAAGCAGAUUCUGCUAUAUGCCUAGCAUAAGUCUGAAUGGGUGAUUCAACCAUAGAAGAUAAAGGGAAAAGUAUGCAGAAGUAGAAUAUUAUACUAGGUAGCUUUCUAAUAGGGAAAUAUAUAAAAGACCUGUUCUUAGAGGCCACUUUUGUAUAGAUGUUUUAGGUAGUAGUUUUUUGCCUUGUGAGUUGGUUGAAUUGAUGCUCAUUAUGUUUGUGUAUGGAACAAUUAAGGAUGUUUUUGUUAGCUAUAGUGCAGAUUGAAUAAUAUAUAACACUUGUGUAGUUUC